GGCUCAGGAUGAACGCUAGCGGGAGGCUUACACAUGCAAGUCGAGGGGCAGCACGGGAUAGCAAUAUUCUGGUGGCGACCGGCGCACGGGUGAGUAACACGUAUGUAACCUACCUUGUACUGGGGGAUAGCCCGGAGAAAUUCGGAUUAAUACCCCAUGAUUAUAUAGAAAGGCAUCUUUUUAUAUUUAAAGCUUCGACGGUACAGGAUGGGCAUGCGCAACAUUAGCUAGUUGGUAGGGUAACGGCCUACCAAGGCUACGAUGUUUAGGGGACCUGAGAGGGUGAUCCCCCACACUGGUACUGAGACACGGACCAGACUCCUACGGGAGGCAGCAGUGAGGAAUAUUGGUCAAUGGGCGCAAGCCUGAACCAGCCAUCCCGCGUGCAGGAAGACGGCGCUAUGCGUUGUAAACUGCUUUUCCAGGGAAAGAAAACCCCCGACGUGUCGGGGCUUGCCGGUACCCUGGGAAUAAGCAUCGGCUAACUCCGUGCCAGCAGCCGCGGUAAUACGGAGGAUGCGAGCGUUAUCCGGAUUUAUUGGGUUUAAAGGGUGCGUAGGCGGAUUAAUAAGUCAGUGGUGAAAACCUUCAGCUUAACUGGAGACUUGCCAUUGAUACUGUUAGUCUUGAGUACGGUCAAGGUAGGCGGAAUGUGUAAUGUAGCGGUGAAAUGCUUAGAUAUUACACAGAACACCGAUUGCGAAGGCAGCUUACUGGGCCAUUACUGACGCUGAUGCACGAAAGCGUGGGGAGCGAACAGGAUUAGAUACCCUGGUAGUCCACGCCGUAAACGAUGAUCACUCGCUGUUAGCGAUACACAGUUAGCGGCUAAGCAAAAGCAUUAAGUGAUCCACCUGGGGAGUACGGCCCGCAGGCUGAA
This 880-nucleotide ribosomal RNA is filed under the name uncultured bacterium. Its description in RNAcentral is "bacterial SSU rRNA". It matches the Rfam family "Bacterial small subunit ribosomal RNA", at positions 21 to 898 of the family's 1533-position model. The record is from RNAcentral.